RNAcentral lists this unclassified non-coding RNA (979 nucleotides) under Hevea brasiliensis (rubber tree). The record is from RNAcentral. Lineage: Eukaryota; Viridiplantae; Streptophyta; Magnoliopsida; Malpighiales; Euphorbiaceae.
UGGGAGCAAACGUUAGCAGGCUGCGAUAUUCAAAAUGAUGCUGGAUUGCAAUUGGUUGGACGAAUGCGGAGCACAGGGCAUCCACAAGCAUGGCAGCUGAUAAAUGACUUGGUUUCUCAGAUAUUUGAUCUGUGUAAGAGUGGUAAUCCUCGUCCUUCGAAUCGUAUAAAGACUAGACUGAUUGAGUUUCUUACUAUGACACCGCGAAAUGCUACUGAAAAAUCUGCCGAGCACCUUCAGAUUUUUCUCUCUUCGUGCGCCCCGGCAGCUUUGGUAAUGCUCUAUAUGUCUCAAGCUAAAGUGAACAAGGAUACUGCUGAUGAAUCGAUUCGUCAAUUUAUUAAUUCGAGUAAGACUGUUUUGCCUAAUCCUAUAUAUACGCAAUGUGCUCCUAUAAUUUUAGAAUUCUGUAAGUUGCUUAGGGCGUCUGCUGGUGUUGAUGAUUCUUUAUAUGGUGUUUGUCGGAGUAGUUUAGGGGGUAUUGUAGAGUCUGUUGGGGUUCUAAGUUGGGAGAGUAAGAAGACUGAUGGUAAAGAUGUAAUGGAAUUGCAAGACAUUUUCCCAUUUGUUCGCGAACUAGCAGCUAAGUUAUCACAGGCUUUAGAAUCAAGUGUGGGAUCAGACAUGGUAAUGGGGCCUUCUUCGAGUGAUGUGCGUGAUUUUACUGCAUUUAUAGGUCCUAUUAUGAAUUUGAUCGGGGAUCAUGUAGCGAUUUGCAGUCCAAUCGCUUUUCCGUUGCAGGAGGAAGGCACCAGUGAGGAGGAAAGCAAAAGAUUUGAGAUGUUGUAUUACAGACAGCAGAUUAAAUGUUUGCAUGAUAUUUACUUUGAUUUGCUUGAGAAAUUAGAGCUAUGUCUAAAGAAAAUGGAAGAAUCUUUAGCAUUGAAAGAGAAAGGAGAAGGUGAGCCUCUUGUAUCCGGGUGGUCCCAGUACUUUGCAAUUCUGAAGGAGAUAAAUGCUAUAUCAAAACUUUAUAAGG